Bufo bufo (common toad) is the source of this 249-nucleotide long non-coding RNA. RefSeq lists it as uncharacterized. NCBI's taxonomy places the organism in Eukaryota, Metazoa, Chordata, Amphibia, Anura, Bufonidae. The record is from RefSeq and is a predicted model, not a curated record. The transcript has 3 exons.
AAAAAGGGUAAAACUGAUUGUUUUAUAAAGUGGUCCAGCCACCUUUGUACUAGAUAGAGCAGUGCAGACGGAGCUGCAUCAGCCAGUGCACUCAGUGCACGGAUUACUGUCAAAAGAUGGUGUUCGAAUAUGAAGAAUAAAGGAGGAGGGAAUAAAACAGGGAGCGGACAAAAGAGGGGGCCCAGUGAAUAGAAUAUACAAAAAAAGGAAUGAUAUUCCUCAGUGGCUGAUAUCUUUUAAUGGCUAACU